CCUACGGGUGGCAGCAGUGAGGAAUAUUGGUCAAUGGGCGCGAGCCUGAACCAGCCAAGUCGCGUGAGGGAGGACGGCCCUACGGGUUGUAAACCUCUUUUGCCGGGGAGCAACGGGCGUCACGUGUGGCGCCACCGAGAGUACCCGGAGAAAAAGCAUCGGCUAACUCCGUGCCAGCAGCCGCGGUAAUACGGGGGAUGCGAGCGUUAUCCGGAUUUAGUGGGUUUAAAGGGAGCGUAGAUGGGUUGUUAAGUCAGUUGUGAAAGUUUGCGGCUCAACCGUAAAAUUGCAAUUGAUACUGGCAGCCUUGAGUACAGUUGAGGUAGGCGGAAUUCGUGGUGUAGCGGUGAAAUGCUUAGAUAUCACGAAGAACUCCGAUUGCGAAGGCAGCUUACUAAGCUGCCACUGACAUUGAUGCUCGAAAGUGUGGGUAUCAAACAGGAUUAGAUACCCCAGUAGUC
This 461-nucleotide ribosomal RNA is filed under the name uncultured bacterium. Its description in RNAcentral is "partial 16S ribosomal RNA". It matches the Rfam family "Bacterial small subunit ribosomal RNA", at positions 338 to 795 of the family's 1533-position model. The record is from RNAcentral.